Molecule: transfer RNA, 77 nt
Filed under: Alphaproteobacteria bacterium RIFCSPHIGHO2_01_FULL_40_8
Lineage: Bacteria; Pseudomonadati; Pseudomonadota; Alphaproteobacteria
Also listed under: 4 other names
Description: tRNA-Arg
Rfam family: tRNA
About the family: Transfer RNA (tRNA) molecules are approximately 80 nucleotides in length.
Source: RNAcentral
GCACCCGUAGCUCAACUGGAUAGAGUAUCUGACUACGGAUCAGAAGGUUGCAGGUUCGAAUCUUGCCGGGUGCGCCA